GCAGAGCGGGCAGGGAAGUCUGUCCGCCCCUUCGUGUCCGAGUGGGGCCGGGGACUUCGUCUCCGGAGCCCCCAGAGUCCCCACAGGCUCGGCGGGAGGAACUCGUUUGGAGCUCGGGAGCGCUCAGGACGCUCGCAGGCAUUUCAGAGCCUGAGGUUCGAAUCCCAGCUCCACCAGAGAGACUCCGCGACUUUGGACAACCGGUCUCGGGGCCUCAGUUUCCCCUCUAGGGUGAGGCACCCAGGAGGCGGAGGAAAAGGCUGUGGUUCCUUUACUAGCCCGACCCCUCGGGCGGUCCACGGCUGCUCUGCGUGGAGCUGACGCUCAACGAGGGUUGUUGAAUGAAUGUGUGUAAGGAGCCCUGAGAAGCCACAAAUCUUGGACACCUGGCUGGAGGAUCUGUCUGUCCUGGCCCCAGCGUCUUAGAGAGGUACCUGCACAGCAAUGGAUAUUUCCAGUUGUUCUCCAUUCUCGUCAACACUUGGUAUGGUCAGUCAUUUUAAUUUUAGACAUCUAACAGGUGAGUAGUGGUAUUGCAUUGUGGUUUUAAUAUGCAUUUCCCUAAAGAGUAAUGAUGUUGAGCAUC
Molecule: long non-coding RNA, 586 nt
Organism: Delphinapterus leucas (beluga whale)
Lineage: Eukaryota; Metazoa; Chordata; Mammalia; Artiodactyla; Monodontidae
Source: RefSeq, a predicted model, not a curated record